AUACGGAGGAUCCGAGCGUUAUCCGGAUUUAUUGGGUUUAAAGGGAGCGUAGGUGGAUUGUUAAGUCAGUUGUGAAAGUUUGCGGCUCAACCGUAAAAUUGCAGUUGAAACUGGCAGUCUUGAGUACAGUAGAGGUGGGCAGAAUUCGUGGUGUAGCGGUGAAAUGCUUAGAUAUCACGAAGAACUCCGAUUGCGAAGGCAGCUCACUAGACUGUUACUGACACUGAUGCUCGAAAGUGUGGGUAUCAAACAGGAUUAGAUACCCUGGUAGUCCGCACAGUAAACGAUGAAUACUCGCUGUUUGCGAUACACUGUAAGCGGCCAAGCGAAAGCGUUAAGUAUUCCACCUGGGGAGUACGCCGGCAACGGUGAAACUCAAAGGAAUUGACGGGG
This 393-nucleotide ribosomal RNA is filed under the name uncultured bacterium. RNAcentral's name for it is "partial 16S ribosomal RNA". It matches the Rfam family "Bacterial small subunit ribosomal RNA", at positions 523 to 918 of the family's 1533-position model. The record is from RNAcentral.